RNAcentral lists this ribosomal RNA (479 nucleotides) under uncultured bacterium. RNAcentral describes it as "bacterial SSU rRNA". It matches the Rfam family "Bacterial small subunit ribosomal RNA", at positions 32 to 524 of the family's 1533-position model. The record is from RNAcentral.
AAUCAACGCUGGCGGCGUGCCUAACACAUGCAAGUCGAACGCGAAAGCCCGCAAGGGUAAGUAGAGUGGCGCACGGGUGAGUAACACGUGGACAACCUGCCUUCGAGUGGGGAAUAACCUUCCGAAAGGAGGGCUAAUACCGCAUAACACCUCGGGACACAAGUUCUGGGGUUGAAAAGAGCAAUUUGCUCGAAGAGGGGUCCGCGCCUGAUUAGCUAGUUGGUGAGGUAACGGCUCACCAAGGCUUCGAUCAGUAGCCGUCCUGAGAGGGAGCACGGCCACACUGGAACUGAGACACGGUCCAGACUCCUACGGGAGGCAGCAGUGGGGAAUUUUGGCAAUGGGCGAAAGCCUGACCAAGCAACGCCGCGUGGGUGAUGAAGUAUCUUGGUACGUAAAACCCUUUCGGCAGGGACGAACCUAAUGACGGUACCUGCGGAAGAAGCCCCGGCUAACUCCGUGCCAGCAGCCGCGGUAAC